Molecule: ribosomal RNA, 432 nt
Filed under: uncultured bacterium
Lineage: Bacteria
Description: bacterial SSU rRNA
Rfam family: Bacterial small subunit ribosomal RNA
Source: RNAcentral
GAACGCGAAGAACCUUACCAGGUCUUGACAUCCCUCUGACCGCUCUAGAGAUAGAGCUUUCCUUCGGGACAGAGGUGACAGGUGGUGCAUGGUUGUCGUCAGCUCGUGUCGUGAGAUGUUGGGUUAAGUCCCGCAACGAGCGCAACCCCUAUUGUUAGUUGCCAUCAUUCAGUUGGGCACUCUAGCGAGACUGCCGGUAAUAAACCGGAGGAAGGUGGGGAUGACGUCAAAUCAUCAUGCCCCUUAUGACCUGGCUACACACGUGCUACAAUGGCUGGUACAACGAGUCGCAAGCCGGUGACGGCAAGCUAAUCUCUUAAAGCCAGUCUCAGUUCGGAUUGUAGGCUGCAACUCGCCUACAUGAAGUCGGAAUCGCUAGUAAUCGCGGAUCAGCACGCCGCGGUGAAUACGUUCCCGGGUCUUGUACACACC